RNAcentral lists this ribosomal RNA (501 nucleotides) under Microbacterium resistens. RNAcentral's name for it is "bacterial SSU rRNA". It matches the Rfam family "Bacterial small subunit ribosomal RNA", at positions 79 to 592 of the family's 1533-position model. The record is from RNAcentral. Lineage: Bacteria; Bacillati; Actinomycetota; Actinomycetes; Micrococcales; Microbacteriaceae.
CUUGCUCUGGUGGAUUAGUGGCGAACGGGUGAGUAACACGUGAGCAACCUGCCCUGGACUCUGGGAUAAGCGCUGGAAACGGCGUCUAAUACUGGAUACGAGACGUGGCCGCAUGGUCAACGUUUGGAAAGAUUUUUCGGUCUGGGAUGGGCUCGCGGCCUAUCAGCUUGUUGGUGAGGUAAUGGCUCACCAAGGCGUCGACGGGUAGCCGGCCUGAGAGGGUGACCGGCCACACUGGGACUGAGACACGGCCCAGACUCCUACGGGAGGCAGCAGUGGGGAAUAUUGCACAAUGGGCGCAAGCCUGAUGCAGCAACGCCGCGUGAGGGAUGACGGCCUUCGGGUUGUAAACCUCUUUUAGCAGGGAAGAAGCGAAAGUGACGGUACCUGCAGAAAAAGCGCCGGCUAACUACGUGCCAGCAGCCGCGGUAAUACGUAGGGCGCAAGCGUUAUCCGGAAUUAUUGGGCGUAAAGAGCUCGUAGGCGGUUUGUCGCGUCUGC